UACGUAGGUGGCAAGCGUUAUCCGGAAUUAUUGGGCGUAAAGCGCGCGCAGGCGGUUUCUUAAGUCUGACGUGAAAGCCCACGGCUCAACCGUGGAGGGUCAUUGGAAACUGGGGAACUUGAGUGCAGAAGAGAAAAGCGGAAUUCCACGUGUAGCGGUGAAAUGCGUAGAGAUGUGGAGGAACACCAGUGGCGAAGGCGGCUUUUUGGUCUGUAACUGACGCUGAGGCGCGAAAGCGUGGGGAGCAAACAGG
RNAcentral lists this ribosomal RNA (253 nucleotides) under uncultured bacterium. RNAcentral describes it as "partial 16S ribosomal RNA". It matches the Rfam family "Bacterial small subunit ribosomal RNA", at positions 524 to 776 of the family's 1533-position model. The record is from RNAcentral.